GAGCGUUUUGUUUUUUGUUAUGUUGGUGUCACUGGAAACAGUUGUGCUUCCUGAUGUCUUACUGAGAUGGCCUUUUUGGUCAUUUUGGGCCACUUUCCCAAGGAUACUGCAUGUUGCCUGACCUGUAUUCCUGAGGAAAUAAGGAGGACUUAGAUUGAUCUGUUUUGGACAGCGUACUUUCUCUAAGAAUGGCGAAAGGAAAAACAUCAGACUAGGAUGCUCUCCAGAAAUAAUAACUGAGAAUCUCAUCCUGUUGUCUUUCUUUAGCUUGCCCAUGGUGAUGUGAAGAUGAGAAGAAAUAGCAAGGCCCAACCAGUUCUUCAUCUGGAGACAGUUCAACGUUCUGCAAACCAGAUCUUCAGGAAUUUUACUGGGAUAAUUAUCCAAAUAAAUUGCAAGCAUUCUAUCCAAAUGGAGCUCUUUCUGAGAUGAAGAGAAUUCUCAAUGUCAAGAUUUGAACAAGAAGAGAAUGGAAUACACAAUAUGGACAUCCAUAAAAAUUCAUCAGAGAGCAUUUUACUACUGAGCUGCAAAGGGAAAAACUUAAAAUGGAUAUGAAAAGUGAAGAAAGUGAUCAUAGGAGAAAACCAUUUCAGAUGACAAGAGCACCUCAAAGGCAGCAGCCUCAAGGAGCAGCCAUGGCCCCAGACUUGUCGCACGGAUGCAGAAAACUUAAUGGAGGAGGCUGAGGUCAGAAUGGGAAGAGUUUUUAAAAAAUAAAAAGGGGAGCUAA
RNAcentral lists this long non-coding RNA (733 nucleotides) under Homo sapiens (human). RNAcentral describes it as "HSALNT0403101". Lineage: Eukaryota; Metazoa; Chordata; Mammalia; Primates; Hominidae. The record is from RNAcentral.